Molecule: non-coding RNA, 73 nt
Organism: Blautia sp. CAG:37
Lineage: Bacteria; Bacillati; Bacillota; Clostridia; Lachnospirales; Lachnospiraceae
Source: Rfam
ACUGUGGAGUGUACAUGGACCUACGAGUAGAUAUGAUUUCGGUCAAUCAAAAGUAUACACAAGGAAGCAGUAA